ACUAGAUUGAGGCCAUUUUCCAAAAGAGCAGUUACUAGGUAAAAUGUAGAUAUUAAGAACUGUAUAAUGAUAAAUUUCCUUGAUAAUUAAUUACAGUCAUGAAGCACAUAAAAUAUGGUUAAUAAUUUGCACUUUAGUUUGAUUUUUUUUCUGACUCUGGUGAUUAAUCCUCUUUCUUAUGUUCCCUUUGCUAGAUUAACUGCCAGUCUUUUUCUUUAGGUGAAUACUUAGAAGCUAUGAUCAAGUCAUCUUUCAAACUGCAUUUCAUCUCUGAGAAAUCAGAUGGAGUUCUCCCAGCAAAGAUCUACCCCCCGCUAUACAUCUGUAAACCCACCUGUUUUUAUUCACUGUUUCCCAUCCAGCAGGGAAUUAUUUUGCAUAUAUUUUGGUCCAUGAGCACAGAAACCAUAUUAAGUCUGGAAAAUGAAGAAAGGUCCUUAUAUAUUCUGAAUGAAGAUAAACAUGUUUAAUUCAGCACAUUAUAUCUAUCCUGACGUAAGUAUUGGUCGUGGUGAAAACUCCACAAAACUCAUUUUAUCUCUUGGUCUUUGGGUCUCUGAGCAAUCACUGACUAAUUCCUUGAAAGUGGGCUGGAUACAGAAGCUGGACUUCCUGUGGUUAGUCAUAGGAGCAAGUAAGUAUGAUCUUUGCCAUUUUGCCUCAGUGCUGUGUUCCUUUUGAUGGUGGGUAGGGCAUGUAAAAAUGGAUGAAGCUAACAGCAUUGAAUGCUCUAAAAUUGGUUGUAUACAUUCUGUGCUGAAAGAGAAAAUGCAUGUUUUUCAGCCCUUAUGUUAAUGAACUGUCUAGGGGCAACACACUAAUUUAUCAUUAAGAAACAUGCAGCUCCAGCAAUAAGUAAAGCAUUAGGACUCCAGGCAUGAUCAGGUAAGUGCUUCAGAGCCUGGAUAUGCUGAUUUUAAAAGUUCAGCUGAGAUGUGUAAUUGAUUGUGUGAGUGCAAAAUUAAAUGGGCUCACUAAAAUGUCCUCCGUUUAAAAAAAAAAAAAAAAAAGCGCAUUCCAUAUUUUGGAGAUACAGGAGUCCCUUGCUUUAUUUAAGGAAAAUGUUGUGGCUUAUCCUGUGCAAGCAGGUGUAUGGGGAUUUAUUUUUCCUCUGGGCAGGACACCUAAGAAAGACGUUGCAGAGCAUUUGAUGACUGAGUUGUCUUUCCUUACUCUCCCUUGAAUGGAGAAUUAACUGAAUGGAGAAUUAACUCAAACAAACAAAGCUGAUAUGUAGAAACUAGAAAAAUAGAGCAAGAAAUGGGAGCAAGUUGAGAAAAAAUGCAGGUUAAUUUCCCCCUGGAGUGUAGGGAAAGAUGUAGGGACAUAACUGUGCCCUUACACAAUUUUCUUCCUGCUCUGUUCCCAUGGUAUUACAGCUUUUUGCUCUCCUGCUACUGACUGCCAGAGAACUUUCAGUCUCACCCUACAUUACUGAAUCUCAGUAACAGAGAUUUAUUCUUUAUAACUGAAAUCUGCACGCUUCCAACUGAAGUGUGUAUCCAUAAAUGAAUCACAAUAAAAUAAAAAUAAUUCAAACA
RNAcentral lists this long non-coding RNA (1541 nucleotides) under Anser brachyrhynchus (Pink-footed goose). RNAcentral's name for it is "lncRNA (ENSABRG00000022383.1)". The record is from RNAcentral. Lineage: Eukaryota; Metazoa; Chordata; Aves; Anseriformes; Anatidae.